Non-coding RNA from Camelina sativa (false flax), 101 nucleotides. Lineage: Eukaryota; Viridiplantae; Streptophyta; Magnoliopsida; Brassicales; Brassicaceae. The record is from RefSeq and is a predicted model, not a curated record.
GCAUCACAGAAAAUGAAUAUACAUCAUGUGAGACACCGAUGAUGAGCUAUCUUAGAGUGCACAACUCUCUACAAGUAGAAAGACAUCGUUCUACUUCCUCA